RNAcentral lists this ribosomal RNA (264 nucleotides) under uncultured Pseudomonas sp. RNAcentral's name for it is "partial 16S ribosomal RNA". It matches the Rfam family "Bacterial small subunit ribosomal RNA", at positions 1120 to 1382 of the family's 1533-position model. The record is from RNAcentral. Lineage: Bacteria; Pseudomonadati; Pseudomonadota; Gammaproteobacteria; Pseudomonadales; Pseudomonadaceae.
AGCACGUUAUGGUGGGCACUCUAAGGAGACUGCCGGUGACAAACCGGAGGAAGGUGGGGAGUGACGUCAAGUCAUCAUGGCCCUUACGGCCUGGGCUACACACGUGCUACAAUGGUCGGUACAAAGGGUUGCCAAGCCGCGAGGUGGAGCUAAUCCCAUAAAACCGAUCGUAGUCCGGAUCGCAGUCUGCAACUCGACUGCGUGAAGUCGGAAUCGCUAGUAAUCGUGAAUCAGAAUGUCACGGUGAAUACGUUCCCGGGCCUU